ACAGAGAGUGGCAAGUGACAAAGGAGAUUGCAAAUGCCCCCAAACACUCUCUCCCAUCGAUUGGCAGAGAGAAUCACACACAUAACACAGGAGAUGGAGCAUAAAAUUGGGCGGACUGAUUCACAGGUUUGUUUUGAUUUUUAAACUCAUUUAUUAAAAAAUAAAAUGAGUGUGCGUCCGUGUGGGGCGGGGGGACAGGAUUCCCUAACGCAAAGGGGCUGUCGGCGGACGGUGUACAAGCGAAAGCGCGCUCCCUAAAUCUGCAAAGCACUAAAUGUAGAGAAACGCGCAAUUACCCUGGGACCCGCCCGGAGAAGGCAGCCUCCGGAGCCGCAGGCGAUCGCGUCCCCGCCGGAGGAACGCUAACGUGCGGACUGCACCUUGCAGAGACUGCCUGAGGUCUUGAAUUCAGGAGUCCACGAAUAAAUCUACAGCUCCCAACCGUUCGGAUUGGAUGCCUUUCGAGGCCCCGCUUGGUUCCACUCUUGCUUGCCUUAGGCUGCCCACGUCGGCUUAGAAACAUUUCCACGGGUCCUGUCCUCGGGAUAUUUUCUAUUUCUGAACAUGUAAAGCGCACAAAGGACCCGAGAUGCAGUGAAGGGACGGCUAUUCCAGGAGAAAAUGAUGGGAAUGAGCGUGGACGUGGGAGUGCCCUGCUCACCGUGGGUUCUGGGGCGGGGGCCAGAGAAGGACACACAGCUGAGACGACCCAAGUGGCCUGCGGCGACGGGCAGCGCGUCCCAAGUGGAGCGCCAAGGCCCGGGCUCAGCCUUGGCCCGCUCCGCCCCUUUCUAAAGCUCCGCGGUGGCUUAGGGCCACCGGGGCCAGCUGUCUCCGGCUCCUGAGGCGACCCGCUCCAGCCCCCAAGAAGGAGGUUCCGACAGCCCCCCAGGAUACCCGAUCUACCUGGUUUUCUACCAACACAGACCGGAGGAACUGCAGCUCUAUCCAGAGAUGAGUUUUAAGGGUCACUCGAAAUCGAGCCGCUGAGAGGACGGCCUUUUGGGGAGAACAGUUAAAAGAAAAAUUCCCGAACACCUAGGUUCUGCCCGGUGCUAACAGGCGUAUACGAACCCCGGCCUGGACAGUUUCUGAGACCCCGGACCUUGAGAAGCAAACCUGUUCCCAAGCCCUGAAUGCCCGCCUUGGAAAAGUACAAAAAGAAAACUCUGCUUUUUUCCAAAAUAAAAACUCCUUCCCCGCAAA
This is a long non-coding RNA of Herpailurus yagouaroundi (jaguarundi), 1206 nucleotides long. RefSeq lists it as uncharacterized. The transcript has 2 exons. The record is from RefSeq and is a predicted model, not a curated record. NCBI's taxonomy places the organism in Eukaryota, Metazoa, Chordata, Mammalia, Carnivora, Felidae.